UUCGCCCUUAGAGUUUGAUCCUGGCUCAGGGCGAACGCUGGCGGCGUGCCUAAAACAUGCAAGUCGAGCGGGGGUUGGCCGCGGGGCAACCCGCGGUUUCAGCUCUAGCGGCGAACGGGUGAGUAACACGUGGGUAACCUGCCCCGAAGACGGGGAUAACCUCGGGAAACCGGGGCUAAUACCCGAUACCCUCCCCCGGGGGCAUCCCUGGGGGAGGAAAGGGUUGGGCGCAAGCCCUUCCGCUUCGGGAUGGGCCCGCGGCCUAUCAGCUAGUUGGUGGGGUAACGGCCCACCAAGGCGAUGACGGGUAGCUGGCCUGAGAGGGUGGUCAGCCACACUGGGACUGAGACACGGCCCAGACUCCUACGGGAGGCAGCAGUUGGGAAUCUUGGGCAAUGGGCGCAAGCCUGACCCAGCGACGCCGCGUGGGGGGUGAAGGCCUUCGGGUUGUAAACCCCUGUCAGGAGGGACGAAGCCCG
RNAcentral lists this ribosomal RNA (479 nucleotides) under uncultured bacterium. RNAcentral's name for it is "bacterial SSU rRNA". It matches the Rfam family "Bacterial small subunit ribosomal RNA", at positions 1 to 454 of the family's 1533-position model. The record is from RNAcentral.